RNAcentral lists this ribosomal RNA (254 nucleotides) under uncultured bacterium. RNAcentral's name for it is "partial 16S ribosomal RNA". It matches the Rfam family "Bacterial small subunit ribosomal RNA", at positions 524 to 776 of the family's 1533-position model. The record is from RNAcentral.
UACGGAGGGUGCAAGCGUUAUCCGGAUUCACUGGGUUUAAAGGGUGCGUAGGUGGGCAGGUAAGUCAGUGGUGAAAUCUCCGGGCUUAACCCGGAAACUGCCAUUGAUACUAUCUGUCUUGAAUACCGUGGAGGUGAGCGGAAUAUGUCAUGUAGCGGUGAAAUGCUUAGAUAUGACAUAGAACACCAAUUGCGAAGGCAGCUCACUACGCGAAUAUUGACACUGAGGCACGAAAGCGUGGGGGAUCAAACAGG